CGGCGGGCGCUUCUCCCCUCAGUCAGCCACAGGGAGCCCGGAAACCGGACUGUCCGGCCCCCCAAACUGGGGCACAGGGGACAUUAACCCUUUGGUCUCCUCUGUACAAGAGGCAGCAACUGGUUCCUACAAUAUAGGAUCCGCUCAGUGGGUAUCUUCGAUAUAAGAUCCUUCUCCUGAUUGACCCAUCAAGGAUGGACACGGACAAGAUUGCGGAGAGUAUAAUAAAUCUCACCCUAGAGAUCCUCUUCCGGCUUACUGGAGAGGACUGCACAGUAGUGAAGAAGACCUCUAGUGAGCGCUGUCAGGCCCCUGUAUCUGAAGG
Long non-coding RNA from Bufo gargarizans (Asiatic toad), 325 nucleotides. RefSeq lists it as uncharacterized. The transcript has 3 exons. The record is from RefSeq and is a predicted model, not a curated record. Lineage: Eukaryota; Metazoa; Chordata; Amphibia; Anura; Bufonidae.